AAAAAAAGGGGUGGGGGCAUGGGGAUCAUUAAUUACUAGGGAAGAGUUUUCCGAUAAUACGAAGAAUCUUGUGGCCUUGUUUAUCUUUGAUGCGGAUCUUGAAAAUGUCGAGUUUGUGAAAGAGGAAUUCUCGAUUAGACUAGAAAACCUGGGAUGGCAGGAUUGUUGUUGUUGGGGUUUGUUUUGAGAAGGGGAGAAGAAGAAGAAGAUUAA
Molecule: long non-coding RNA, 213 nt
Filed under: Gossypium barbadense (sea-island cotton)
Lineage: Eukaryota; Viridiplantae; Streptophyta; Magnoliopsida; Malvales; Malvaceae
Description: long non-coding RNA (GBAR_LNC012979)
Source: RNAcentral